This 5503-nucleotide long non-coding RNA is filed under the name Triticum aestivum (bread wheat). RNAcentral describes it as "long non-coding RNA (TAES_LNC013529)". Lineage: Eukaryota; Viridiplantae; Streptophyta; Magnoliopsida; Poales; Poaceae. The record is from RNAcentral.
ACCAUAUAGUCAUUAAACUGCAUGCAAUUCCUGUUUUAAGAAUACUUGCCCAAAUAAUGGCUGCAUUGUCACCUCGGUCACUUUAAAAUAUGGGCUCCACAUUUCACCUUCCCCUCACACCACAUAUAUUUACACGAUGCAAUAAAAGAUUGUAUGUCAAUCUCAUGCCUUGUUUUGAAAUCGAUUAAGUAAAAAAUGGUACCCUUAUGUGUGCACUUGCCAGAGAGGUGCAUUCAAUACUUCCCUACUUGAGGGGAUCGCAUAUACUAAAUUAAAAUGCAGUGAUCACAUCACAAAUUAUAAAUUGUUUUCUUAAUUUACACACACCGUACACCUGCUUUCCCAAAUCGGCAUUACCAUAUCACCAUAUAUCCAACCUUUAGGCGCAACAGGCAACCUACAAUUGGAGUGAUGGUUUAGUAAGAAAGAACAUUUAGCACAAAGAAAGAUGAAUUUUGAAAGAAAAAAACUUAGAAAAAAUUGAUGCUCGACUCACUACUAAUACCAUCUAAUAAUAUGCAAGAUAGUAAUAAGAGGUCAAGCCAAUCAAGUGAAAGACGUUUGAACUGGAAUUAGACACAUUGUACAUCAUCAAUCAUUAGGAGCUGGACCCCAUAGAAUCUUUUCGGGUUCAGUUGUAUGAUUAGAAUUUGGCUUCAAACUAACUAAACUAAAGAGUUUUUUUUUCUUGUCCACCCUUCAGUUGCCAAAUUAUGAUUCAUAAAGUUAUAGCGCAUCUUGGAAAUGUUAUAAUAGUUUUGGUUACACGGUUCAUGAUAUACCUAUGGAUAUUAUACUGACUGAUAGUCCAUGGUUCAUUUGAGCUCACUUUGGCGCGAAUGCAGUGAUGAAGGUUCGACAUGCAGUUUCGGAUUUCCCUUCUCAUUCAGUGCAGCUUCCCUCAUGAUGUAUGCCACAUGCUAAUAUGAACUUUCUCAUUGUAUAUAAAUUUUCAUGAGAGAAAAAGAGAAAAGAUGCUCCAGUUUUCCUUGCAGCUCAAUUUUCACACCCUUCCCAGGUUAAUAUUCACUAUUUUCUUUGGACCAUCUUUAUGCUGCCUUUUCUCUGUACACACCUCAUCAAAACUGAACAAAGAGGCAUCACAUAGGUUUAGAUGGCGCGUGUGAACAUGGUUUAAGAUAUGAUGUUUCUUGGAGAGAGCAAACUUACCUUUUCCAUUUCAUGGUUUAUUAACUAAAAUAUUGAUCGACGGCACAUUCUGAUGCUUCAGCUUUGUUUUUGCCUUCUUGUCACUUAAUUAGGCACUAUAGUAAGAAAGCAUACUGAAUGAGACUCGAAGGAAUUUUGAUGUCAACUUGUAAUUAGCAAAACUUAAAAUGAUCUCUUUAAACAAGUAUCAGAUUAAAGAAACCAAUAUAGAACCAUAUUAAAUAGGGACUGAGCUUAGCUGGAAGGUGAGAAAGAAAUUACAAUUGCUAUUGGUGCAACAUUACAAAAUUUAGCUUAGCUAUCUAUCAGAUUUCUUGACUCAAAUUCCAGCUAGCAAAGAAGAAGAAUGAAUCCCCAGAAAAACCAUGCUAAACGAAAUAGAGACUCAUCGAUUGACCUCAAUCACAUUAUUUGUUAAAUAGAGACUGAGCAAAGAGGGAAGGUCAGAAAGAAAUUACAAUUGCUAUUGGUGCAACAAUACAAAUUUUAGCUUAGCUAUCUAUCAGAUUUCUUGACGCAAAUUCUAGCAAGCAAAGACGAAGAUUGAAUCCCCAAAAAUCCAUGCUAAACCAAAUAGAGACUCAUUGAUUUACCUCAAUUAAAUUGUUUAUAAAACAUUGUACAUGAACUUGUUUUAAAUACAUGACAAAAUCUAGCUGAGCUAAACCUUCCUGGAAUCUUAUGUGGAUUUUUAGAGUUUAGACCAAGGAGAAAUGGGGAAAUAAUUCAUGAUAGAGGGUAGUGCAUGCAGGAGCCUCCGAAUAGCGGGUAGCCUAGCGAGGUUUGUAGGAAAAAGGUGGCUUUUGUCUCAUCAGUGAGUUUGUUGCCCAAUGCCCGUGCUACUGAUAUAAUGUCGUUCAUGACAUACCUCGCCCAGUUCCAAUUUGGGAUGUCAUCUAAAUUUUCAAGAGCCACAAAAUAUGCUGGAAGAAUAACUACAGAUCAAAUGGACCUCAAACUUUAUCUCACCGUGAACACCACAUAAAUCACAUUCUAACAUGGAGGCCUCAGCCAUCGCCAAGGCAUCUCAUGGAACAUGGGGGAAACUCCAAAUCGAACAGAGCAACACAAAAAUAGGAAUCAGGCAUGAGGAAAGGGGAAUAAGCUAACCUGGGUAAUGGGAUCAGCAGGUCGAGGAGGGUGCCACCGUGCCAGCGGCCUCCACAAGGAUAAUCUUGCACACGAUGUCGCCUCAAGCAAUGGAUCGCAACCACCAGAACCGAAGCACUUGUUGUUCAUGGUUUCAGUUAUGAGAUAUCCCGUCAACUGAGGUACAAAUCACAAAUAGGUCAGCUCACGAGCUAAAGAAUAUAAUCUUAUCCAAGAAAAGACAAAAUAGUCCAGAGCAGCAAAGCUUUAUUAAGUUCUUUACUAAGAAAGCGAACUUAGUAAUUACAGCCCAAACAGAGAAUAAAUGGUUUAGAACAGGCAUAAAUCUGAUCCAUCUUCCAUCAUCAAUAAUAAAGAUAGGAAAUCUUGAAAUCCUUGAUCCAAACAUCAGAAGUCACAAAAGUCGAAGCAAACAGUGAACUGAAAAUUACUCCGAAAAAAACUUUUAUUUUGUUGACUCUAGACGAAGCCCAUGCUUUGUUGUCCUGGCAAUACAACAAAUUACUGGCCCAAGCUUGAAGUACUAACAAGAACGAAUCCCUUUCGUUAUUAAUUCAUUCAAUGAACAGCAGAGAAAAUGGAUGCUUGUGCAGGCAUCGUAAUGAAUGGUACUUGAUUUAGAGAAAUAACUAUGCUAAUAUAUGACUUCGCUAACUAAUCAAUCUGCUGCAAUCACAGUUGGUGCAUAACACUAAACGAGCACUUGUGAUCAGGGCAACGGUUAUAGAUAAGUAAAGAGAAAUUACAAAACAAGGUAUGACGAGACUACCAAAUCAGCCUGAGAAAGUAGAAAGUAGGAUCAACGGAAACAUAACAAAGGAAACAGAAUAAUGAAUAUUUAGUGGAGAUGAGCUAGUUGAACCUACAGGCCAGAGGAAGAGCUCACCGGAAGGUUAGGCCAGCGAAUUUGGGACCGAUCCCUAGAAGGAAGAAGCGAAGAACUAAAGAACACAUCUUGUUCACGCCUAACUAUGUUGUGCAAUUGUGCCGAUGGCCUCGUCGUCUAAGGCAAAUACAUGUCUCCAUCAUAAAUCAAAAGCGUGAACUGGGAGGACUUCUGCAAUUGCUAAGCGAAUCAUGCAUACAACCAUGACAGUGGCUACAAAUUUGAGUUUCUUCACCUCCCGAUGCAAUUACAACAUAUGAUUAUGCACAUAUAUAAUAGUAGUAUGAUGGAUUAACUACCAUCAAGAAGAGAACAUAAACUGACAGAUUUUCCGGUAAAAAAAACUGGCUGCAUUAAUGUUUACCUUUCCCACUGCAUAACCAAAUGUCAUUAACUAUCAAAUUAGUCGCAAAUAAGCCAAAUAUCACCAACGGGUUGCUACCUUGAUGCUUUAUAUUUCUUCUAUGUGUCUUGCUGUCCCCUUCAAGUAACUGACGCGCCCGGUCGAUCCCAAAGGUUGCUAUUUCCUUGUGGAGUUUCUUAUUGACAUAGAUCUGAACAAAAAUGGAGGGACCAAAUAAAUUUCAGAUUUAGGAGUCAGGAACUAACAGUUGUAAAUCCACACCAAUGAACACAAAUACAACCUGAUUAUGUGGCAGACCUUUAACAGGAAAGGUAAAAUCUGUAGCAUAGUUUGCAACUUAAAAUUAUAGGUCACUAAAGUGCAUGCCACAACAUAAGCAAAAUUCAUCUAACAAACCUCGAGCUUGUGUACGACUGUCUUAUUAAGCACAUCAUGCUGACAUGCAAACUCGUGAUUGGAAAAAAGAAGUUACUCUAGCGAAAACUGGUGCUAAGCAGUAAUGGGAGCUAGAGGGAGCACCGCUUCUGAACAUUCUAAAACAAUGAAAAGGCGUGCUUACAUCUAUGAAGCUAAAAAUAGUACACCGAACCAUAUUGAUUGAAUACGGGUAACAACGGAAAAACAAUUAAUUGGAGUGCAGAAUCUGCAUAGAAUAGAACCGGAACACAUCAAUCUAGGCAUCUAACUAGCUUCUGCCAUCAGGGUUGCUUGCUAAUUGCAACAAUAUUCAUAACUGAAGAUUCAAUGAGAACUACCAAGGGAUAAAAAAAGGGAACUGAAUCUGUUCACUCAAUGUGUGCAUGACCUGCAAUGUCCUCACAUAUGAGUAAUUCAUCAAAGAAACCAUAAAAAAUUCAUCAAACAAAAAACACAAAUGGAAGGCAAGCUUACCUGAAUGGGGAUUGCCCGUGACCUGGAUCUCGUCGUUCGCGUGCUGGUGAUCUGCUACUAUUUGAACAACAACUCUGCCCGCUGAUGCUGUCCAAACUGUGCAAAUUUAUCCAUACUAUCCCUGCAAUUGUUAAGAUCAAAAUCAGCAUCUUUUACAACUAAUGCAGAGUAUGAAUUUCUCGGCAGACAAAAAAGGCUUUGUAGAUUCAGUAUAGUUGACACAAACAAAAUGCAGUACCUGCUUUCCUCAAGAACCCGUGUCUGAAAGAUGUGGAGAGAAAAUUGCAAAAUAUGAGCAUUAGUACUUCUUAGGUAUCACAGAAAUUCAAUGCAACUUCAACAAGACCAGCGCUUGCUUUUCACACUAUUGAAAAUUCACGUCUUCCAUAUUUGAUCCACCUUUCCGCUGGGCAAAACAACAAAUAUGUGGGGGCAAAAUAUCUAUUUAUGCUCAGAAAAGAAAUUACCAAAUAUCCGGCCACGAGCGCGUGUGUGAGAGGACCGAGGAGAGAGUGUGCGUGACAGCGAGAGAGGAUGAAGGCAAGGACGUGGGGGCUGAUCUCUCGGGUGGAUGGACGGCAGCGCGAAAGCCGGACGGAGCUGGCCGUCUCUGCAGCCCACGCUCCUCUUGCCGACGAUGGCGCCGUGGACCACCGCUGCGACUCAAGCUCCUCCCGGGGUCGCUGCUGCACGCGUGGAGAUGGAGGCGGGGUGCAGCCUUCCGUGCAUCGCGCACGAGCCCCAGCCUCCUCGCAGCUCCCGAUCCAGGAACGGGUCGAGCCGCCGCCAACCGUCAGAUCGAGCCCGACCUCGCCGGCGCAGGCCGACGCCGGCCGGUGACCCUCUCCCGUCAGCCGCCACACCUCACUCUCCUCUUCCCUCUCUCUUUCUCCCUCCUCUCCUUCCUUCUCUCUCUCUCAUCUUCUCUCUCUGCCGGGGUUCGUGCGGGAGGAGGGGAUUGGGAAGGCGGCGCAAAGGAGAGGGAGGAAGGAGAGGAGGCAGUGCGGAUAUUUUCUAGGGCUCGGCUCACUCCACCCAGAACGAGGUACACCUUAGUCAUGAUAAAAAGCAACUGAUUACUG